UACGGAGGGUGCAAGCGUUAUCCGGAUUCACUGGGUUUAAAGGGUGCGUAGGUAGGAAAGUUAGUCAGUGGUGAAAAUUCUAAGCCUAACUUAGAAAUUGCCAUUGAUACUGCUUUUCUUGAGUCCGAUUGAAGUGGACGGAAUAUGGCAUGUAGCGGUGAAAUGCUUAGAUAUGUCAUAGAACACCAAUUGCGAAGGCAGUUCACUAAGUCGUCACUGACACUGAGGCACGAAAGUGUGGGGAGCAAACAGG
RNAcentral lists this ribosomal RNA (253 nucleotides) under uncultured bacterium. RNAcentral's name for it is "partial 16S ribosomal RNA". It matches the Rfam family "Bacterial small subunit ribosomal RNA", at positions 524 to 776 of the family's 1533-position model. The record is from RNAcentral.